GGGGAAUUUUGGACAAUGGGGGCAACCCUGAUCCAGCCAUGCCGCGUGAGUGAAGAAGGCCUUCGGGUUGUAAAGCUCUUUCGGCCGGGACGAAAUCGCAUGGGCUAAUAACCUGUGCGGAUGACGGUACCGGAAUAAGAAGCACCGGCUAACUACGUGCCAGCAGCCGCGGUAAUACGUAGGGUGCGAGCGUUAAUCGGAAUUACUGGGCGUAAAGCGUGCGCAGGCGGUUUUUUAAGAUAGGCGUGAAAUCCCCGGGCUUAACCUGGGAACUGCGCUUAUGACUGGAAGACUAGAGUACGGCAGAGGGGGGUGGAAUUCCACGUGUAGCAGUGAAAUGCGUAGAGAUGUGGAGGAACACCAAUGGCGAAGGCAGCCCCCUGGGCCGAUACUGACGCUCAUGCACGAAAGCGUGGGGAGCAAAC
Molecule: ribosomal RNA, 425 nt
Filed under: uncultured bacterium
Lineage: Bacteria
Description: bacterial SSU rRNA
Rfam family: Bacterial small subunit ribosomal RNA
Source: RNAcentral